GGUGGAGAUAAUUUAUUUCUAAUCCAAGGUAACAAAAAGGAUAUGGAGUAUAAAGUGUACUUAAAUGAAGAGGCACCUGUUCCUGCAGCUACACAAAGGCGAUGGACACAGAAUAUAAUAGGUUGCUGAAUGCAAAUAACUGUAUUUUAGGCAAUUUGUUUCUUAUUGUACAAUUACAUAUUGACUUACAUUAAUCAAAUAAGCAAGAAAUCUGCUCUUUUUUCUUCUUCAGGAGCAAAAAAGAGAAGAUCAUACAAGACAUGGCUUAUUCCCGAUAUAGUUGAAGAAAACAUUUCCAAUGAUGACAGUGGUGACAAU
Molecule: long non-coding RNA, 318 nt
Organism: Cyprinus carpio carpio
Lineage: Eukaryota; Metazoa; Chordata; Actinopteri; Cypriniformes; Cyprinidae
Source: Ensembl